GGGGUUGUAGCUCACUGGUAGAGCGCUCACCUAGCGAGUGCGAAGCUCUGGGUUCGAUCCUCAGCACUACA
RNAcentral lists this transfer RNA (71 nucleotides) under Marmota monax (woodchuck). RNAcentral describes it as "tRNA.Ala". The stretch from base 6 to 66 matches the Rfam family "tRNA", at positions 6 to 65 of the family's 71-position model. Rfam says of the family: Transfer RNA (tRNA) molecules are approximately 80 nucleotides in length. Their secondary structure includes four short double-helical elements and three loops (D, anti-codon, and T loops). Lineage: Eukaryota; Metazoa; Chordata; Mammalia; Rodentia; Sciuridae. The record is from RNAcentral.